CCCCCCCCCGUUGACCAUCUCAUUCAUCUGAAUUGGCCUGGUGGUGUUACCCAGCGCUAAGAUCCAUGUGGGGGCUUCUAUUGAGAGGACCACGACCCUUGAGCACAGGUUCUUUGCCCGAGAAAUAUAAUGACACCACCAACCUAUCAUCUUGUUAACUUGAAAAGAAGUCAUCAAUAACCUCGCAAGACACCCCAGAUGGCAGUGGUCACCGUGCAUACUAGUCCUCAGAGGAGACAAGGAAGGGGAGAAUUGUGACCACCUUCACCUCUAGGAGGCACUGCCUCCCAGCUCCUCAUUAAUGGCAGCCAGCCUGGGGAAUCCGCUGAGCACUCUAGCUGUGUGAAGGAAGACCAGUGGCGGACUGGGUCUAAAAAUAUUGGUUGCCAGGAGACAAAGGGGGCCCACUUCAUCAGGGGCCCACUUGAUAUAGGGGGCCACUUCAUCAGGGGCCCACUUGCCAUCGGGCAAGCUGACACCCUGGUCAGUCCGUCACUAAGGAAGACUGCUUUCUUUGCCAAUUUGAUUUGGAAACCUUAAAUCAGGUCUUCUGCGGCAUUCGCAGGCAGAGGAGGGCAAUGGAGAGGAAAGAACUGAUCACACUUGGCAAUGUUUGACAAUUUAGCCCCAAAAAAAUAAACUUUUUUAUGUAGAUACCUUGCUUCCUUUGAAAAAGAAAUGGAUCAUUUUUUUUUUUAAUGGGUAUGGCGGCUGUUUUGCCCGAUGAACCCUUAGAAAAAGCGUCAACUCUGCUCAGUUUUUGUUAUCAAGGCCAUUUGAUUGAAUCUGAAUAGGAGUGCUACAAUGUGGAUGUGGUAAGUGUCAGAUAUGUGCAUAGCCCGUCUGGAAGUCUAGUCCUACUUUCUAUUUAUUAAUUAGUCUCACCGUAAUCUGCUGUAACUCCUUUCCUCCGCCCUUUGUGAUGAAGUUAUGGUAUUGUCACCAUCAACUAACAUGGAUGCUGUUGUUUUGUUGUACAAUGUUAAAUGUAUAAAAAAAAAAGUUCUUUAUAAAGCCGAUUAAAAUGCUGUGGAGCUUAUGAAAUCUUUAUUUGUUAGAAAAAUAAAUUGCCGAAUGGUCUCACAA
Long non-coding RNA from Leucoraja erinaceus (little skate), 1086 nucleotides. RefSeq lists it as uncharacterized. The record is from RefSeq and is a predicted model, not a curated record. NCBI's taxonomy places the organism in Eukaryota, Metazoa, Chordata, Chondrichthyes, Rajiformes, Rajidae. The transcript has 2 exons.